CCUACGGGAGGCAGCAGUAGGGAAUAUUGGGCAAUGGAGGCAACUCUGACCCAGCCAUGCCGCGUGCAGGAAGAAGGCGUUAUGCGUUGUAAACUGCUUUUAUAUAGGAAGAAAUAGACCUUGCGAGGUAAGUUGACGGUACUAUAUGAAUAAGCACCGGCUAACUCCGUGCCAGCAGCCGCGGUAAUACGGAGGGUGCAAGCGUUGUCCGGAUUUAUUGGGUUUAAAGGGUGCGUAGGCGGUUUAUUAAGUCAGUGGUGAAAGACGGUCGCUCAACGAUUGCAGUGCCAUUGAUACUGGUAGACUUGAGUGGGAUUGAGGUAGCUGGAAUGGAUAGUGUAGCGGUGAAAUGCAUAGAUAUUAUCCAGAACACCAAUUGCGUAGGCAAGUUACUAAGUCUCAACUGACGCUGAGGCACGAAAGUGUGGGUAUCAAACAGGAUUAGAUACCCUGGUAGUCCACACUGUAAACGAUGAUAACUAACUNUUGGCUUUGGGUCAGUGGUACNGAGAAAUCGUUAAGUUAUCCCACNGGAGUACGCGCGACGAGAACGACGAAAGAAGUAGACGCGUGAGACGUAGACGACGGACGACGACGAGGGAGGAGG
Molecule: ribosomal RNA, 607 nt
Filed under: uncultured bacterium
Lineage: Bacteria
Description: bacterial SSU rRNA
Rfam family: Bacterial small subunit ribosomal RNA (bases 1-532)
Source: RNAcentral